UUUCCUGAGAAUCCUAAUUUGAUAAAUGCCUUGUAUUACUGGAAAGGCAGAAUGGAAUCAGCAAGGCAGGACAAUGGUAUUGGCAGCAAAACAGCUUCGGCAACAAAUCCUCUUUGCUUUGGGAAUGUGGUGGUGAUCAGUUAUAAUUUUCAGAGAGUAAAAGGACUUGCAACACAGCUUAUUGUAACCAGGCAUUGAACAGUAACGAGAGAGAACUUCCAUGCGACAAAACAUGGACUUGUCUCCUUGGCAACGUUCCCCUGAAAGAAAAAAAGAGGAAAGCUGAUGAGCUCAGAGCACCUCUACAAACAUGAAUAGAUCAAGCCUCGCAACGCUCCUGGGAAGUUGGUAAAUCCUUGACACAUGGGGAAACUGAGUACAAUGAGGGUAAGUGCACACUUACAAAGUUGCACACUAUGUUAGUGGAAGAGCCAGGAAUAGGAAGCUUAGAACUCCCGACUCCUGGUUCUUUGCUAGAACCAUUGGAUCUGCUUUGUACCUCACACCUCUGUAUGGAAAAAGUAGCACUGGAAGAACUAGCCUGCAAUUCCUUUCACUCAAUACUUGUAUCCUUCCCUCAGAAUGGCUUUUCUUUGUCAAAGAUGUCCAAUGCCCAUUUAAUUGCAAUGAGGCUGGGUGCCUAACUCCCUUAGACACUUCUAAAAAACCCAGUCAUGUCCCUAAAGGACUUUAAGGAAAAAAGAAAAAGGCAUGACACAAAUCUAUUGUAUUAUUUUUCUCUGAGCAGUGUCAUUUGGUGAAAUAAUUGAAGUGACAAACAGAAGAGAACUGCUGAAGGGGCCAAUUCCUUUCUUUCUGAAACUGCAACCAAGACCAGAAAGAUCUGGCUCAUGGGAGCCAAAGCAAACAGCAUUACUUCUGACCUAAUUGCUUGGUGUUUUACUGCUGUCCAUACUGC
This is a long non-coding RNA of Trachemys scripta elegans, 919 nucleotides long. RefSeq lists it as uncharacterized. The record is from RefSeq and is a predicted model, not a curated record. The transcript is spliced from 3 exons. Lineage: Eukaryota; Metazoa; Chordata; Testudines; Emydidae.